RNAcentral lists this ribosomal RNA (1319 nucleotides) under metagenome. Its description in RNAcentral is "bacterial LSU rRNA". It matches the Rfam family "Bacterial large subunit ribosomal RNA", at positions 1579 to 2925 of the family's 2925-position model. The record is from RNAcentral.
AAAAGUAGGGAAGCAUGUGAGCCAUGUGCCAAGAAAAGCCGCUAUAGAUCAUAUCGUACCCGUACCGUAAACCGACACAGGUAGAUGAGGAGAGAAUCCUAAGGCCGACGGGAGAAGCAUUGUUAAGGAACUCGGCAAAAUGACCCCGUAACUUCGGGAGAAGGGGUGCCCACGCGAGUGGGCCGCAGAGAAUAGGCUCAAGCAACUGUUUAGCAAAAACACAGGUCUAUGCGAAACCGAAAGGUGAGGUAUAUGGGCUGACGCCUGCCCGGUGCUGGAAGGUUAGGAGGAGGAGUCAGGCAACGAAGCUCCGAAUUUAAGCCCCAGUAAACGGCGGCCGUAACAAUAACGGUCCUAAGGUAGCGAAAUUCCUUGUCGGGUAAGUUCCGACCCGCACGAAAGGCGUAAUGAUUUGAGCACUGUCUCGACAAUGCACCCGGUGAAAUUGAAGUACCAGUGAAGAUGCUGGUUACCUGCGCCAGGACGGAAAGACCCCAUGGAGCUUUACUCCAGUUUGAUACUGGGAUUCGAUACUGAAUGUACAGGAUAGGUGGGAGGCUGAGAAGCGUGGACGCCAGUCUGCGGUGAGCCGCUGUUGGGAUACCACCCUUUGAGUAUUGGAUUUCUAACCUGCGCCCGUGACCCGGGCGGGGGACAAUGUCUGACGGGGAGUUUGACUGGGGCGGUCGCCUCCGAAAGGGUAUCGGAGGCGCUCAAAGGUUCCCUCAGAAUGGUUGGAAACCAUUCGCAGAGUGCAAAGGCAGAAGGGAGCUUGACUGUGACACCGACGGGUGGAGCAGGUACGAAAGUAGGACUUAGUGAUCCGGUGGUAUGAAAGUGGGAUUGCCAUCGCUCAACGGAUAAAAGCUACCCUGGGAUAACAGGCUUAUCACUCCCAAGAGUUCACAUCGACGGAGUGGUUUGGCACCUCGAUGUCGGCUCAUCGCAUCCUGGGGCUGUAGCAGGUCCCAAGGGUUGGGCUGUUCGCCCAUUAAAGCGGCACGCGAGCUGGGUUCAGAACGUCGUGAGACAGUUCGGUCCCUAUCCGGCGCAGGCGUAGGAUAUUUGAGAGGAGCUGUCCUUAGUACGAGAGGACCGGGAUGGACAGACCGCUGGUGUAUCUGUUGGUGACCAACACCAUGGCAGAGUAGCCAAGUCUGGCAGGGAUAAACGCUGAAGGCAUCUAAGCGUGAAGCCCCCCUCAAGAUGAGAUAUCCCAAUAAGUAAGACCCCUUAGAGAGUAUGAGGUAGAUAGGCUUAAGGUGUAAGCAUAGUAAUAUGUUCAGCUGAUAAGUACUAAUAGGUCGAGGGCUUACCAA